UUUGAAUAAGAGAAUUACAAUUUGGGAAAAACCCUCAUCUUCUAACCUCUUACCUUAUGUGUUCAACCCACGGAUUAUUUUUCCAACAUGGACAGAUAUGUGAGGAACCGGCUGAUGUAUUCAAAACAUUGAUAUACCUGAGCCUCCUCCACCACUGGUGGUUUGAUUGAAAGAGCAGGGACGAUGCGGUACACCCGUGACAAGAAGAAGAACUCCACAAUGAGAGACACAAGGUUCCAGCCCAGGAUGAAACCACAGCCAACUACAUUAGAGGCCAGGGUCAUGACCUGUCCCACUGCUAGUGGGGCCAGGAUGUUAGUCACCUGAUCUAUCCGCCUCAUGGUUGCAUUCAUUCCUUUUGUUAGGAUCAAAGACACAGAGGUUAGUGGGCUUCCACUAGAGGACUUUCAGCAAGAGCAGAAACGGACCGAUGUCUGAUACUCUCUGCAAUUCAAGUGUUUUUCAUGUUCUACCAGUAAUGCAAGCCUGUGACAAACAUGGAAUACAAGCCAAUAUGUGCAUUGACAGAAUGAAUCCCCUCACCAGCUAGGUGACCUCGGUUGUAGCCUGUGAUAACCACGAUCCAGUCCCUCUGAAUGGCAAUGGUCAGUGCUGUGCUUGCAAGGUUUGCCACAUCUGCCAGGACGAUCACCACCGUAUAACAAACCACCUUGUGUAAGUUUUGCGAUGCAACAUGUUACUAUGACAGUACAGAGUAAGCCACAAGCUCAGAAGCAGAGACAACAGGGACACAGGACAAAGAGGAAAAACAGCAGCAAUAACUCCUCUGUGUAAUAAUCAUGGAAGCCAGGGUGGAACCAUGUGCAGGUCCAGCAGGGGAGUUAGGAUCGCCUCUAGAUUUCCAAACAUGGAGGACAAGCCGAGGCUGAAGAGCAUGACAAAGAACAGCACCGCCCACACCUGAGAGCCUGGCAUGUUUAUCACAGCCUCAGUAAACACAAUGAAGGCCAGUCCGGUUCCAGAGGCGCUCUACAGUCCCUCCAGGGAAGCGGACUUUGAAAAGAGUGGAAGAAGUACCAGAGGAUCCAGGCCAAGAUCAUGUUGUAGAAGAGACCAACAAGGAAGGAUACUACCAUGGACGCCACACCUGUGUAUACACAUUAUUCACCAAGAAAUGUAUGUGUGUUAUGGAUGGCAGUGACCUCAAGGUAAUAUAGACGUUUUGCAUAACUUAAUGUUGGACAGUAAAUUAAAAAUUUUUUGGCAUCUUGCUUUUUUGUUAGCAACACACUAGUUCAGUGAAACCAAACCUUCUCACCUAAACCUCCCAGAUAUGGGGAAAUUGAAUUCCACACUCCAACACUUCCCAUGCGGAGCCUUUGUCCGAUGGCCAGUUCCAUGUGCAGCAGGGGAAGUCCCUCAAACACCAAGGCAAUGACAUAAGGAAUCAGAAAUGCCCCUUGAAAUAAAGCACAUUUAUAAGCGAUGACAUGGUCAUAAAUGACAAAAAUAAACAUGACUUUUUCAGUAGGCAUUAGCAUUGCUUUUAUGGUUGAAGGUCAUUCAGUUCUCUAUUACUGGACAUUUUAUUAUCAACAAUCAGCGUUAUCACACUCACUCAUACCAAGCAGUAUGUCUUGUUUUCAUCAUUUGACUAGUCCACUUUAUAUUUUGGGCACUGCUGUAUGUAGCAGUAAAAAUAUUUUGUGCUGUUUGUUUAAUGGAUUAAUAAAGUGUCCAUUUUGUAUAACAGAACUAUCCAAAUAGGAAUUAUCUCAGAUCAGUCACAGCUGUGAAUAAAAUAUAAGCACUGACAUUUUACAAGAAAUAAACGUGCUCAGUCACAUAA
Long non-coding RNA from Micropterus dolomieu (smallmouth bass), 1810 nucleotides. RefSeq lists it as uncharacterized. The record is from RefSeq and is a predicted model, not a curated record. The transcript has 4 exons. NCBI's taxonomy places the organism in Eukaryota, Metazoa, Chordata, Actinopteri, Centrarchiformes, Centrarchidae.